GCAGCUCAGCCUUGUUGCAGCUGUAAUUAAUCCCUUCUGUUAUAAACUAAAUAGUCUGAAAAUCAUUUUCUUCAUUUGCUGCACCUGCCAUAGGAGAGCUCCUGCAACCUUCAGUGAUGCAGAGCAAACAGCCGCUGCCUUGAAGAGAAUGCUUUUCAACUCUUUGGUGCCUGCCACUUCUCCUCUCUCUUGCAUUUGAAAUCCUCCAGGAUGGAUCCUGAUGCACUGUGUAAAAGGGUGUAAAAGGGACUUUGGGAGGCAGCUGACU
RNAcentral lists this long non-coding RNA (268 nucleotides) under Parus major (Great Tit). Its description in RNAcentral is "lncRNA (ENSPMJG00000017129.1)". Lineage: Eukaryota; Metazoa; Chordata; Aves; Passeriformes; Paridae. The record is from RNAcentral.